RNAcentral lists this ribosomal RNA (164 nucleotides) under Nasturtium officinale. RNAcentral describes it as "5.8S ribosomal RNA". It matches the Rfam family "5.8S ribosomal RNA". From Rfam's summary of the family: 5.8S ribosomal RNA (5.8S rRNA) is a component of the large subunit of the eukaryotic ribosome. It is transcribed by RNA polymerase I as part of the 45S precursor that also contains 18S and 28S rRNA. Lineage: Eukaryota; Viridiplantae; Streptophyta; Magnoliopsida; Brassicales; Brassicaceae. The record is from RNAcentral.
AAAGCGACUCUCGGCAACGGAUAUCUCGGCUCUCGCAUCGAUGAAGAACGUAGCGAAAUGCGAUACUUGGUGUGAAUUGCAGAAUCCCGUGAACCAUCGAGUCUUUGAACGCAAGUUGCGCCCCAAGCCUUCUGGCCGAGGGCACGUCUGCCUGGGUGUCACGA